This 260-nucleotide ribosomal RNA is filed under the name Rhizobium etli. Its description in RNAcentral is "partial 16S ribosomal RNA". It matches the Rfam family "Bacterial small subunit ribosomal RNA", at positions 46 to 334 of the family's 1533-position model. Lineage: Bacteria; Pseudomonadati; Pseudomonadota; Alphaproteobacteria; Hyphomicrobiales; Rhizobiaceae. The record is from RNAcentral.
AGGCUUAACACAUGCAAGUCGAGCGCCCCGCAAGGGGAGCGGCAGACGGGUGAGUAACGCGUGGGAACGUACCCUUUACUACGGAAUAACGCAGGGAAACUUGUGCUAAUACCGUAUGUGCCCUUCGGGGGAAAGAUUUAUCGGUAAAGGAUCGGCCCGCGUUGGAUUAGCUAGUUGGUGGGGUAAAGGCCUACCAAGGCGACGAUCCAUAGCUGGUCUGAGAGGAUGAUCAGCCACAUUGGGACUGAGACACGGCCCAA